Molecule: unclassified non-coding RNA, 216 nt
Filed under: Hevea brasiliensis (rubber tree)
Lineage: Eukaryota; Viridiplantae; Streptophyta; Magnoliopsida; Malpighiales; Euphorbiaceae
Source: RNAcentral
CCAGUUGGUGUAUAAUGAUGAAAAAGUUAAAAAUUACUUUGAAAGGAAGAUGUGGCAAUGUAUUUCUGAGGAAUUUGAUUUGAAAUUGCUUGUUAAGAAGAUCCUUGAAUGUGGAACUAAUAAUGAGGUGCCUAAUUUAUUAGGAUUAGAACAAUUGCAUAUUCGCCUUAAAGAGAAUUUAGAAGGGAAGAUGUAUUUGUUGGUGUUAGAUGAUGU